This 933-nucleotide long non-coding RNA is filed under the name Calidris pugnax (ruff). Its description in RNAcentral is "lncRNA (ENSCPUG00000005183.1)". Lineage: Eukaryota; Metazoa; Chordata; Aves; Charadriiformes; Scolopacidae. The record is from RNAcentral.
AAAAAACCCAGUUGACUCAGAGUAUGUGGUUGCUUGUUGAGUUUUCUGUGUGCGAGAGGUAGCACGUGUCUUGACCUCAUGCUCCCCUUCCCGUAGGUUGCACCUGGAGGAUCUGGGAUUCCCACCCUGUGACUGAGACCAUCACCAGAUCACGACCCUUUCUUGGAGAUUCCUUUCUCAGUGUCCCUGAAGCGUGUCCAGAUGACAUCUCCGGAGCCUGAAGAUCAACUAGAGAUGACCUGCAGCAUUAACACCAGAGUGACGUGCCCUUCAGUGAUCCACCACCAGCAUGAACACCGGAGGGACGCGCUUCAGGGAUCCACCCCUUUCUUUUCCAUGUGAAGAGCAGCAGCUCCCGCUAGGAGGGAGAAGACAGGGUGCAUAAACGGGAAAUGGUGAUGCUGGAAGAGGAUGCAGGGGAGCUGCGGACACCCCGAGAGCAAACAACAUGCAGCACAGCACAGGCUGCAGCCAUGCACGACCAGGAGCCUCCAGGCUCUCCUCAUCAUGACAAAUCAGGUGGACAGAUGGAAAUGGUCUUCCUGGGGAACAAAUCGGUUCCUUCCUUAAUCUGUUCAACUGUGAGGGCAGCUGGAGGCUCUAAUUCGGUUACCUCUGCAAGGGCUGGCUUCAGACACCCCUUAUCAUCUGUUAGACCUACCAGGACAAAGGCACUUCUGAAGCACCAAAUUUGUUCAUAACUUGCUCUGUGUAGAGGGGAAAAAAGAAAGAAAAAGAAAGAAAAAAGAAAAAAAAAGAAAAAGAAAAAAAGGAAAAAAAAGAAAAAAAAAGAAAGAAAAAGAAAGAAAAAGAAAGAAAAAGAAAGAAAAAGAAAGAAAAAGAAAGAAAAAGAAAGAAAAAGAAAGAAAAAGAAAGAAAAAGAAAGAAAAAGAAAGAAAAAGAAAGAAAAAGAAAGAAAAAGAAAGAAAAAGA